UUAAUUCAGUAGAAAAAGGUUAUGGCUAGAAUUUCAUUGUAAAGUUAAAGUGGUCCAAAGCCUUCUUCUGAUGAUAUAUAUGCACUUACAGACUGAAGAACUUGCAUCAUGGCAUGUUUUGAGGCUGUUGCAAUUUGUCAGGCACUGGGGCAAUCAAAAUUAAGCUCUUCUUCUGAGUAAAAUCACAUUGCAUUAAGUUAUAUGUCUUUCCUAAUCCAGACCAGCAAAGCUGGUUCUAAUUUAGUUCUUUUUCAAAAAAUCUCUAGUUUAGGAAUGUGAGAUAUUGUCCUUUUAAGAGCCAAUUUAAGACCUGGAUUUUUAGGCAGGCUUUCCCUCCUGUCAUCACUUGAUUAUUUUUUUUAAUCUUUUCCCCAUCUUGAAUGAUAUUACUAUUGUUGUUCUCUAUUUUUUUUUAUUGCUUUUAUGCCAUUUUUAAUUGUUAGCUGCCCAGAGUAGACUUGGGUCUAAAUGAGCGGGGUAUAAAUUUAAUAAAUAAAUAAUAAAUAAAAUAAUAAAUUAAGAUUCACCUGUUCCAGGCCACAUUGAUCCCACUUGCCAAAUUAGUAUUAGCAUUGGUUGGGUUUUUAAAAUAGGAAAUACACAACAUGUAAUGGUGCUUUGUUUUGUUUUCUAAUGUUUGAAAACAUAGCAAUACAGCAAAGUACAGCCUGCCCCAAAAGGCACUGGGAGUUCUGACAAGAAUAAAAUGAAUAGUAUUGAGGAGAAAAACAGUUUAUGCAAGAAAAAGCAGGAUCAGAGAUACAUUUGCAUUGCCUAUUACAGGUAUGAUGACCUGAGAAUACCACUGCAGAAAAGGUUUAACUGUAUCAGCCUUUCUAUGCUAGGUUUUAUCUGUUUAGUUAAGCAAAUAGAUCACCUUCAAAUGUGCCCUUCAUUUUUAGUGAUUUGUUCAUAUUUGUAACCCAGUCCAUGCAAAUAGCUUGGAACAGGUAACACCAUUAGUCUUAAAUCUGGUUAAAUUAUUAAAUCCACAUCUUGCUGUAUUCCUGGUCAGCAGAAACCAUCUUAAAUAUAUAUAUCUUAAAUUGUUUGUACAAGAUGAAAGGCAGCUCACUUGAGACAGACCACAAUCUGAAAGGGUUGUAUGCAUUUUUUUUUACUUUGAUAGAUUGUACUAUAACAGUUACUGAGGAAAGACAGAAGUUGUAGCCUCAUAGAUGUUAGUGUGAAUAUGAAGCUGGAGCACAGUUCUUAUUAACUUGCAUUUGUAAUUAAAAUAAUUAAAUAGAAGGGAAGAUGAAGAUUCAUUCAUGAUGACAGUUCAUAAUCACUGGUUACUGCCAUGCUCUCAUAGAAAUUAUAGAAGCCAUUUGUAAGAGCCUGGCAUGCAGAUGCAAACACUCACAGGAACAGUUGAGGUUGUAACUUUGUAAAUGUAGAAAGGAAUACACUAUCAGCAUCUCAAGUCCUGAGCAGAUUGCAAUCCAGUGGGGUGUUUUUCUGAAUAGCACUCCAAAAAAAUGAAUCACAUAUGGUUUAGGAAUUACUAUACUGUACUGGUUAU
Molecule: long non-coding RNA, 1525 nt
Filed under: Pogona vitticeps (central bearded dragon)
Lineage: Eukaryota; Metazoa; Chordata; Lepidosauria; Squamata; Agamidae
Description: lncRNA (ENSPVIG00000012849.1)
Source: RNAcentral